UACGGAGGGGGCUAGCGUUGUUCGGAAUUACUGGGCGUAAGGCGCGCGUAGGCGGCUUUGUAAGUUAGAGGUGAAAGCCCGGAGCUUAACUCCGGAACUGCCUUUAAGACUGCAUCGCUAGAAUCGUGGAGAGGUGAGUGGAAUUCCGAGUGUAGAGGUGAAAUUCGUAGAUAUUCGGAAGAACACCAGUGGCGAAGGCGACUCACUGGACACGUAUUGACGCUGAGGUGCGAAAGCGUGGGGAGCAAACAGG
RNAcentral lists this ribosomal RNA (253 nucleotides) under uncultured bacterium. RNAcentral describes it as "partial 16S ribosomal RNA". It matches the Rfam family "Bacterial small subunit ribosomal RNA", at positions 524 to 776 of the family's 1533-position model. The record is from RNAcentral.